UAUGUAUAUAUAUAUAUGGUAUGAUAUAUGAUGGGAUAUAUAUAUAUAUAUGUAGUAAUGAUGGAAUAUGUAUGCAUGUGUGUGAGUGCUCGCACACUAACAGCUUUCAGUCAUUCUUCUCUAAUUCUAUUUAUUCAAAACCCCAUUUAUAAUUAGCAAUGGUCUCUGAAAUUUGUGACAGAAGUACAUUUUGUUAUGAGAUAUAUUUGUGUUCGCCUGUGCAACAUGCACACAUGCAAUCUUGCAUGCACUUGUGCAUGUAGUGAUGAAAGAAAUGCAAGCAGAUAGUUUUCAAAUUUCUGUUGAAUUAAAGUGAAAUGCUAUUUUGUACAUAUACCUUUGUAUGUAUGUGUGUGUGUGUGUGUGUAUGUAUGUAUGUAUAUAUAUAUAUAUAUAUCUGAAUAGUAAAUAGGCAUUCAUUUUUGAAAGAUUUAUCUCUAGAAAAUGGUGUUAACCGAGGCAUUAAGUAUUUAGAAGAUCUGCCUUGUGCAAGUUUUAAUUAUUUAACCCAUUUGGGCAUUAUACUAAUUAGUAGUGUCCACACAUAAAAUGGUGUGAUGUCUAUUUACUUUUGGUAUGUGUGUGUGUAUACAUAUAUAUACAUACAUACAUACAUAUAUAUAUAUAUAUAUAUAUACACACAUACAUACAUAUGUAUAUAUGCACACAAAUAUAUAAGCAUGUGUGUGUUUGUGUAUAAUGCAUUUCUAAACCAAGUGUUACUGAAGAUGACAUAAUUUGUUUUGGUUAAGUCAAAAAUAUGACUUGCUGUGUAAUGGAAGUAAGCCAUUUACAUGGUAAGCAAGAGAUUUACGGUUCAAUUCUUCGUCUGUGGAUUCAUCUUUAUUUUUUUUUUCUGAUAUAAAUUUGUUAACAAAUGUAUGCUUAAUAUUUUUUUAUAACAAAAUUUUAGUUACAAUAUCUGUAUGACUAUAUGUGUGUGUGUGUAUAUACACAUCUGUAUAAACAUAUGCAUGUGUAUAUAUUUGUGUUUAUAUGCUCAUCAUGCAUAUAUGUAUAUAUGUUCAUGUAUGUAUAUAUCUAUUUGCACAUAUAUAUUCGCACACACACAUAUGUACAUAGUAAGUUGGAUGAAGUAGUAUGUGCCAUAUUUUGGCCAGUGGGGGCUACAUUAAUAAACUAAAAUGUGUGGGUCAUUUUGGAAAGAAUGAAUGAAGUAUAUGGAAAAGGACAAAGAGAAACCCUUUCCCGUUUUCUCUCUCAGAUUCUGGUGAAAAAUAAAAAAAAAAAUAUUUAAAAAAAAAUUUAACAAUUGACAAUUUAAAAAAUAUAUAAAUAUAUAUUUAAGAGAAAAAUUAUUUUAUGUAAAAAAAAAAUUAAAAAGUAUAAAUGCUGAAAAAAAAUAUAUAAUUAUAAAAAAGAACUAAUUAGAUUGUCUUCUGUAGGUUCCUGGAGAAAGGAAGCUGGAAAAAAAGGAUUUCAUGUUUUCUCUACUCUUUUCUCUUUGUCUUUCGUCUUCUCUUUCCCUCUCUCUCGGUAAAGAAAGAGACAGAAGUUUCCAAUGUAAAAGUAGUUUCAAUAAUGUUAGAAAUUGUUCGUUCCUCCAAAAUAGCAAAACCUUCUGCAUUUCCAGAAAGCAAAAAAAAAAAAAUAAUAAUAAUAAAUAAUAAAAAUAAAAAAAACUGAAGGUUUAAACUUGAAAAACAAACAAAAAAAAUUACAAUUUAACCCCAGCUGUGAUAUUUUCUGCAAUGCUGUUUUUUUUUUUUUUUUUUUAAUUCUUUUUUUUUUUUUCCUCUGUGAAUUAAGUGAAUUAAUUAAUUAAUACCAGUAAACAGACAGGUGAGAAAAUAGAGUUUUUCUGGUCAUCCUCUGGACCAGAAACAGACAGGUGAGAGAGAAACUAAACUUUCUGGUGGCCCUCUGAUAUGGCUACAGAGAAAUACGAGGACUGAAUUAUUAUUAUUAUUAUUAUUAUUAUUAUUUCCUUAUUAUGAGAAAAUGAAGGAUGGAAGCGAAAGAAAGAAAGAAAACGAGUUAUUGGAUGUUGUGUUGGUCGUUAAUUUAUGAAUGUAUAUAUUUGUUAACGAGUGAUUCUGGCCUUGCUGGAGCACUGGCAUGAAUUGGUGUGUGUUUGUGUGUGUAUGUGUGUGUGUGUGCAUAUUUAAUCAGAGAAUGUGAGUGUCCAACUACAGAAAGAAACCAAAAAACAAAAACAAAAAAAAAUACAAAAAAUACAAACAUGAAAAGUUUUUAUAUAUAUAUUAUAUAUAUAAUAUAUAUAUAUAUAUAUUAAAAAUUUAUUCAUGCAUGGGGAA
This 2279-nucleotide long non-coding RNA is filed under the name Octopus vulgaris (common octopus). The record is from RNAcentral. Lineage: Eukaryota; Metazoa; Mollusca; Cephalopoda; Octopoda; Octopodidae.